RNAcentral lists this ribosomal RNA (566 nucleotides) under fungal endophyte. RNAcentral's name for it is "eukaryotic LSU rRNA". The stretch from base 204 to 357 matches the Rfam family "5.8S ribosomal RNA". The record is from RNAcentral. Lineage: Eukaryota; Fungi.
GUCGUAACAAGGUUUCCGUAGGUGAACCUGCGGAAGGAUCAUUAUCAAUUUACAGUCCUGAUCAGUGGGCGAAAGCCCAUUGAGCAUGCUGUUCAACCCUUUGUCUUUGCGUACGGUAUGUUUCCUCGGCGGGUUCGCCCGCCGAUAGGACAUUUCAAACCCUUUGUAGUUGCAAUCAGCGUCAGAAAAACUAUAAUAGUUACAACUUUCAACAACGGAUCUCUUGGUUCUGGCAUCGAUGAAGAACGCAGCGAAAUGCGAAAAGUAGUGUGAAUUGCAGAAUUCAGUGAAUCAUCGAAUCUUUGAACGCACAUUGCGCCCCUUGGUAUUCCAUGGGGCAUGCCUGUUCGAGCGUCAUUUGUACCCUCAAGCUCUGCUCUGUCGAAAGACGGAGUACCUUGGUGUUGGGUGUUUGUCCCGCCUUUGCGCGUGGACUCGCCUUAAAGUGAUUGGCAGCCGGAAUGAUUCUGGGGAACGCAGCACAACUGCAGCCUCUAGACUUAUACGCCGAGCGUCCACUAAGCCUUUAUUCUUGCGUUUGACCUCGGAUCAGGUAGGGAUACCCG